RNAcentral lists this long non-coding RNA (2638 nucleotides) under Homo sapiens (human). Its description in RNAcentral is "non-protein coding lnc-WRB-2:10". Lineage: Eukaryota; Metazoa; Chordata; Mammalia; Primates; Hominidae. The record is from RNAcentral.
GGCAGCGCGACGCCGGGUGGCCCAGCAGCGGGCGGGUGCCGGGGGCGGAAGCGCGGCCACAAGAGGGGGCGAUUCACCGCCGCCCCCCGUGGGACCUGGGUCCUCUACGCGGGACCGCAGGGGCCCCGAGUCGCGGGUUGGGCAAGGUCGCCCGCUCCGGGUCGCUCGGAAGGGUCAUUUCACGGACCGGUCGUCUGGGGCCAGUGCGUCUUGCCCCGCACGGAAGACCCCUCGCUUCGAGGACAGGAAAGCUUUUAAAGUGAGGAUUGGCUCGCCGCGCCUCCCGCAGAGGGGAACGCCGCCCGGACCCGCGCUCCUGGGGCGGGGGCCUCGUAUGCUGGCGUUGCCGGAGCGUCUGCGGCGCUGAAGGCUGCCGAGACCCAGCCACAUCCCCCACAAGCCAGCAGCCCGGCAGAAAAUUACAUAAAAUGCAGCGCUUCGCCGAGGGGGUGCGAGUCGGGGGAGCAGCGCGCAGCUGCGGCUGACGGCUCGGCUGGAUCCAUCCAAGCAUGGACAGGAAAACGGGACUGUGGGGAGAGGGUGGUGCAGACGGGCCGCAGACCCUCCUUAGGAAGAGAAGCCGGAAACUAGGGAGUCAUGUGCAGUUAGAAUCCUCUUGGAAGACUAGUAGGAUGUGAGGUUGGAGAGGUGGACGACGACCAGAAAAUUCCCUUGUCUUGCCAGGCUUCUGACCUAACUAUGAGUUUCCUCCGCGCAUCCAGCCUGCCCUGCUCUGGCCCCUAAAGUACAGCAGUAACACUCAGUGGUGUCCCUGCCUUCCUGGAAUGCGCGUUAACAAUUCUGAUUCUUACUCAUGGCAAUAACCUACACACCACAUAGACGUUAAAUGUGGUUCGGGUCAGACUCUAGGGCAGGACUCACUGCCUGCACCUUGUCUUGGCUCCACCAGCUUGACCUUGAGCAAGUCACAACCUGUGGGUCUCAGUGUUCCUUACUAGUAAACCGUAGGUAAUUCCUCACUAGUAAACAGAUAAUAUUUGUGCCUGUCUCAAAGUUGUGAGGAUUUAAUGAAUUUGUGUUCCUGGUAUACAGUAAGCACCGUGUACAAGUUGGCUUUUAUUUACACCAAAUAGCAAAAGCUUUUAUUUAUUUUGAGACAGGGUCUUGCUCUCAGGCUGGAGUGCAGUGGCGCGAUCUCACCUCACUGCAACCUCUGCCUCCCGGGUUCCAGCGAUUCUUGUGCCUCAGCCUCCCGAGUAGCUGGAAUUGCAGGCAAGCGCCACCACGUCCGGCUAAUUUUUAUAUUUUUAUAUUUUUAGUAGGGACGGGUUUCACCAUGUUGGCCAGGCUGGUCUCGAACUCCUGGCCUCAGGUGAUCCACCCGCCUUGGCCUCCCGAAGUGCUGGGGAUUACAUGCAUGAGCCACUGCGCCUGGCCAAAAGCUUUUAUAUAUAUUUAUAAAUGGACAUAGAUAUCUGUGAGGCUGUCGGGUAUGGUGGCUCACGCCUGUAGUCCCAAGCACUUUGGGAGGCCGAGGCAGGCGGAUCACGAGGUCAGGAAAUCAAGACCAUCCUGGCCAACAUAGUGAAACCCCCGUCUCUACUAAAAAUAAAAAAAUUAGCCAGGUGUGGCAGUGCGCGCCUCUAGUCCCAGCUACUUGAGAGGCUGAGGCAGGAGAAUCGCUUGAACCCCGGAGGCGGAGGCUGCAGUGAACCGAGAUCGCGCCACUGCACUCCAGCCUGGGCGACAAGGCGAGACUCCGUCUCCAAAAAAAAAAAGCUAUUUGUGAGGUAACAAUCUAAAUAUGUUUGAGCUAGUGCAACAGUAAGUUAACUCCUUACAUCUGUUAAUUCAGCAAGCACUAACAAGUGAUGGAGAUUAAAAAAAAAAAAGGAAUGAGCCACAGCUUUGCCAUCAAAGACUUCAGCGUCUCUUAGGGGAAACAGAUGAACAAAGAUUUCUAACAAGAGAGAGAAUAUCUUCCCGAUUCGACUCCCAUAUGUCAAGAGACUCAGAUGUGACUCAUAUUUGCCUGCCAGGAGGAGGAAAAAGAAAUACACUGUCCAGGAGCAACUCCUUAGUGGGUACCCACCAGAAGUGGUCUCCAAACAAGGGUCUCGCUGAUCCCAAAGAUGAAGAGACAAAACCGGCCUUGCUUGCCCCCAAGGUGAGACUUCGGAUCUGUGGUGAGGGAGGGAAAAAUUCCAGCAGACCCAAGAGGAAGGCUACAGAAGAAAGGACAGAAGCGUGGAGAGAAAUUCUAAGCAGGAGGCUGGGGAAGAAGGAAGAGCUUCAGGUCACUGGGUCACCCCACCAGGAGAUAGUCCCCUUGUGGCCUUGAGACUUAUGCAAUGGGCAGAUGCAAUCUGGGUACCUAAGGCAAGGAUUGCCCUUAUUCUGGCCAUGACAUUUAACACCUAAUUGCAGCAAUAACCCCUCUUUUCCACCUGGAGAAAGCUUCCUGGCCCCUCUUUUUCACUUGUGGGUAAGUCUGGCCAAGAGCAGGGUGAAGAAACCCAUAGUCUAACACAAAACCACAUUUUUUAUUUUUAUUUUUUUAAUUGUAGAGACAGGGUCUUACUGUGUUGCCUACACUGGUCUCAAACGCCUGGCCUCAAGCAGUCCUCCCACUUCAGCCUCCCAAAGUGCUGUGAUUACAACACAAAACCACCUUAUC